ACAGAUGAACGGACAUGUUAAUCGACCACUCUAACAUGGUAAUGGAUCAUCAAGUAAGCUAGGACUAUGUGUGAAAUAAAAUAACAACCACUGCAGAUUAUAUUGGUUCUCUGUAUAUUUUUUAGAACCCUUAGCUGUUAUACCAGAGAAUUAGACAUGGUUUUCAUUUUCAUGACCAAAUUCUACUACAACAAAUCUGGCAGCAUCUAAUAAAGAAGGGAGAGUAUGCUUGUCAUGUCAUAAGGUACUGGGCCUAGCCGGAUAGGUCCUAAUUGCUUUUAUUGCUUUCAAGUCAAAUUAGUUUGGUCAGUUCAAAUUCUGUCCAGAUUUUUCCUUAUUAGUUGUGUCAGUUCACAUGGGGCCUCCUUGAUUCAUAGGAUUUUGAAAACAUAGGAUUAGGAAAAGUAUAGGGUUGGAGUGGCAUGCCCACUUGAAUCCUAUAGGAUUAGCAAUGAGUGUUUGAUGUCACAGGAAAAACAAAGGAAUUGUAAAAAAAGUUGGAGUGGAUGUUAGAUUUCCUAUGAAACGCAGUACAAAAGAUUCCAUAGGCAAAAUUCCUAUGGGAUCCAACCCUAUGAAUCAAAGGACCAACGUAGGAAAAAUUUCUAAGGAUUUCAAUCUUCUAGAAAUCCUAUAGAAUUCCUUUGAAUCAAAGAGGCCUUAGCGUGUAAUCAGGCAUCAAAGAAAGAAAUAAGAGAAAAGGGGGAGGUUUACCUCCCGAACAGAUCUAUCUCCUUCCAGCUUUUACGGGACCCAGCCUAAACUCUCUAGCCCUCCUACCACCCACGACUACCCGCAUAUGUAACCUAGAUCGUGACAAUGCUACUCUUGCCAGGUAUAGUAAGUUUAGUCAUGAAUCAGCAAAGAUAACUAGUUAUCGUAAGAAGGAAAAGAUGACAUGCUAUAGGUAUGGCGAGCCGGGUCAUUUUAUGAUUGACUGCACGACUGAGCUGUGUGAUAUCUGUAGGAAACAUGGCCAACCUUCGGAUGGCUACCCGCUACGCUUGGGUCCUAAGCCUGUGGUUACCAUCUAUGGUGUUAGUAACAACAGGUUGAUGUUCUUUGAGACUCCACACACUGUCUCGAUGACACCUCGUGUUGAGUGCUCGAAGUUUGGAUUGGUUAGGGUUACACAUGGGACUCAGGACUCUAACAGAGGAGCAGGUAUCUCAGCAGCUAAGAACACUUGUUUUAGAUUCCUUUCACUGGUCGCCUGUCAGGGUGGAAGACCAGGUUUACAGAGUGGAAUUCCCUAGGAGAGAGGAUCUCGAUCGCUUGCUGAAGUUUGGUUUCAGCAAGUUCACAGGGAGUAAAUGCAUUCUUGAGUUCGACGAGUGCAAGAAACCAGAGUCGACAAGGAUUCCGCUUGAGAAGGUCUGGAUCAGACUCUCAGGUGUUCCAGAUACUUUGCUUGAUGAUUUCCUUAUAGUGCGGAGUCUUGGAUCUCUGGAUGGUAAAACAGAGAAGGUGGACAUGCCUUUUACUCGUAUGCACGGGAUAGCGAGAUUGCUAGUCAGUGUUAUCGAUGCGGAGUAUAUUUCAGACUUUGUUCCAUGGGCAUAUGAUGGAGCGUGCUAUGAUCUCGAGGUCGAGGUUGAGGAGUUGCAUAAGGGAUAAAUAAGCUCUCGGAUAAAGUGUUGACAUGUCCGACGAAGGUGAUGGUAGCUGUAACCAGGAGAGGAAGGAGAAUACUGAUGAGCAUGCUAGGAAGGGGAAACCGCCGACACAGUCACGAACAAACAAGGGGUCGACACCAUCGUCCGCCCCAACGACUUCACUGACAUUUGGGACGUUCCAGGUGACGUCAGCACUGAGCCUCCUUUGGGGCGACCGUGUGAAGAAGGGGGACUUAUUAGGCGAGAGUCCCCCUCCCAUUGCGAUGAUGGAGCAGACGCGAUGGGAGGACACUGUGACCCCCUUACAGCUCAGGUCGCAGCCACGCCGGACUCUUCCGGUGGACGUGAGGGCCGAUCACGCGGGGCAGGAGGCCCGAGGGACUCCCUCGUUAUCAACCUCGCACUACACCGAGUGAUGACCACUUUCUAGGGCCGACGGUUGAGGGAUGCUCGACAGGAGCUGCUCCUUCACCCAUGAGGACACGGGAGGAUUCACCUUUGGCUGCUAAGGAGGGCAGCCUCACUACGGCCAUCCCACCGGACGUUAUAGUUGCGCUGGUGAGUAAGGCCGAGAUACAGUUACCCUCCAUCACUUCGGAUUCUAACGGAUAUAUGGCAGGUGGCCACAGUCCGGGCAGGAUCUCUUCGGUGGAAUUUCGGAUCCUAAGUCUAGUGACACGCGCUUUAGUCACUGGAUUAGGCACAGCCUGAUGCUGAUGAUGUGCAGUUGGGGCGGGCUAUGAGGGCCGCCAAGCUCCGAGACAUCGAAAACAGGUUAUAUAUAAGGCCACGUCUUGAAUCCGUACGUGGUCGUUACUCAACCAUGCGGACUAGAGGAAGCUUAUGGUUAUUGGAUGCAACCGAUGAGAGACGGGCACAUGGGCUAUCUUAAGCCGAUUUGAACGACGGGUUAAUAAUAGGCUAGGUGUAUAUGCAUCAUAGCCUGAUUUUGGUCUUGCCAGAUGUGACAGUUUUUUUAUUUUAAUUAUUUGUUUUUGUCUUGCUCAGAUUGUGAGCCCUUCAUAGACAUACGAUUUUAUUUCUAUGCAUGGUUAAUAAUAUAUCUGCAUGCAUCAAUUGA
Molecule: long non-coding RNA, 2697 nt
Organism: Hordeum vulgare subsp. vulgare (domesticated barley)
Lineage: Eukaryota; Viridiplantae; Streptophyta; Magnoliopsida; Poales; Poaceae
Exons: 2
Source: RefSeq, a predicted model, not a curated record